GCCCCUGUAGCUUAACGGAUAAAGCACAGGCCUCCGGAGCCUGUUAUGGCUGUUCAAUUCAGCCCAGGGGCA
This 72-nucleotide transfer RNA is filed under the name Candidatus Omnitrophica bacterium 4484_171. RNAcentral's name for it is "tRNA-Arg". It matches the Rfam family "tRNA". Rfam says of the family: Transfer RNA (tRNA) molecules are approximately 80 nucleotides in length. Their secondary structure includes four short double-helical elements and three loops (D, anti-codon, and T loops). Lineage: Bacteria; Pseudomonadati; Candidatus Omnitrophota. RNAcentral also lists the same sequence under 2 other names. The record is from RNAcentral.